RNAcentral lists this transfer RNA (85 nucleotides) under Felis catus (domestic cat). It matches the Rfam family "tRNA". Rfam says of the family: Transfer RNA (tRNA) molecules are approximately 80 nucleotides in length. The record is from Rfam by way of RNAcentral. Lineage: Eukaryota; Metazoa; Chordata; Mammalia; Carnivora; Felidae.
GCCUGGAUGGCUCAGUGGGUUAAGCGUCUGACUUCGGCUCAGGUCAUGAUCUCGCAGUUUGUGAGUUCAAGCCCCACGUCGGGCU